GUCAGCGACUAGUCGGCACAUAUGAUAAUAAAUAUUAAUGGAUUACGAUUGGAGUGGGUCAUUGCGAAUUUUAUGUGUUGGAUAGCAUUUUCGUAAGCUUUGUCUCUUAAAUUAUAUACCGGGCGAAACUUUAAAAAUAGUUAUCAGACAUUAUUCUGUAAAUUGUAAUAUAGACCGGAGACCCUAGGAGAGUUGCAAAUGUAAAAAGUCAUGCUGAAAAUAAUAUCUAGGAUUUUUUAUUGUUUAAGAAGCAAGGUGUAAUUAAUAUUUUGUGAAUGUAAACAUGAAUAUUGUUAUAAGUAUUUUCAAUUGUUUCAACUAAUUAUACCUAUUAAUGCUCU
Long non-coding RNA from Aricia agestis (brown argus), 341 nucleotides. RefSeq lists it as uncharacterized. The record is from RefSeq and is a predicted model, not a curated record. The transcript is spliced from 2 exons. Lineage: Eukaryota; Metazoa; Arthropoda; Insecta; Lepidoptera; Lycaenidae.